AUUGAACGCUGGCGGUAUGCUUAACACAUGCAAGUCGAACGGUAACAGGUCUAGCUUGCUAGAUGCUGACGAGUGGCGGACGGGUGAGUAACGCGUAGGAACCUGUCUACGAGAGUGGGACAACUCGGGGAAACUCGAGCUAAUACCGCAUACGUUCUGAGGAAGAAAGGCUGGAGUAAUCCAGUCGCUCAUAGGGGGGCCGUGCGUUGGAUUAGCUAGUUGGUGGGGUAAAGGACCUACCAAGGCGACGAUCCAUAGCUGUUCUGAGAGGAAGAUCAGCCACACUGGGACGUGAGACACGGCCCAGACUCCUACGGGA
RNAcentral lists this ribosomal RNA (319 nucleotides) under uncultured bacterium. RNAcentral's name for it is "bacterial SSU rRNA". It matches the Rfam family "Bacterial small subunit ribosomal RNA", at positions 30 to 346 of the family's 1533-position model. The record is from RNAcentral.